GUUUUAGAACACUAGUAGCUGCAUGGAUUAUUUCUGAUUCUUCAAAAUUUAAAUUUGACAGAGUAACAAAAUUCAAAAAGAAAAGGAAUUCCUGGGAAAACCUCACCUAUACAAUUGAAAGUUAACGAUAAACAACAACUGCAGUGAAAUGAGAAUGUCUUGGAAUCUAGCAAGAUAAGAGAGAUGAGGAAUGUGCAAGAACGUGCAAUAUAGGGAAGAAACUCGAAAAGUAAGCGCGCAUAUAUAUGGAGAAAAAAACAUAUAUCUAAUUUUAGCCUAACAAUGUCGAAAGUUUGUGACUUGAAGACGAAGUAAUAUUUCUCUGAACAUGGGAGACAGAAACUAAACAAUACUAAUCAAUCUUUCCCAAGU
Molecule: long non-coding RNA, 372 nt
Filed under: Brassica napus (rape)
Lineage: Eukaryota; Viridiplantae; Streptophyta; Magnoliopsida; Brassicales; Brassicaceae
Description: long non-coding RNA (BNAP_LNC013179)
Source: RNAcentral